RNAcentral lists this transfer RNA (70 nucleotides) under Jonquetella anthropi. It matches the Rfam family "tRNA". From Rfam's summary of the family: Transfer RNA (tRNA) molecules are approximately 80 nucleotides in length. Their secondary structure includes four short double-helical elements and three loops (D, anti-codon, and T loops). Further hydrogen bonds mediate the characteristic L-shaped molecular structure. tRNAs have two regions of fundamental functional importance: the anti-codon, which is responsible for specific mRNA codon recognition, and the 3' end, to which the tRNAs corresponding amino acid is attached (by aminoacyl-tRNA synthetases). tRNAs cope with the degeneracy of the genetic code in two manners: having more than one tRNA (with a specific anti-codon) for a particular amino acid; and 'wobble' base-pairing, i.e. permitting non-standard base-pairing at the 3rd anti-codon position. The record is from RNAcentral. Lineage: Bacteria; Thermotogati; Synergistota; Synergistia; Synergistales; Dethiosulfovibrionaceae.
CGGAUGUAGCUCAGUUGGUAGAGCAUCAGCUUCCCAAGCUGAGGGUCGCGGGUUCGAUCCCCGUCAUCCG